This 323-nucleotide unclassified non-coding RNA is filed under the name fungal sp. RNAcentral's name for it is "partial internal transcribed spacer region". The stretch from base 1 to 46 matches the Rfam family "Eukaryotic small subunit ribosomal RNA", at positions 1786 to 1831 of the family's 1831-position model. Lineage: Eukaryota; Fungi. RNAcentral also lists the same sequence under 1 other name. The record is from RNAcentral.
AAGUCGUAACAAGGUUUCCGUAGGUGAACCUGCGGAAGGAUCAUUACAGAAUAUCCUCUGUCAAAGGGCGUUUAGUGCCCAAAAUAAACAAACACUCUGCACCUACCUGUAGCAAGCAAGGGUGGGGGACCAAUGGUCAACCUGGUGGCCGUUCACCGGCCCCUAUUCAUUCAGGAUCAGCCGGCUGCCGCCACGGUCACGCCUUUGGUCUCCACGCUGCUGCUACGUUCUUCUAUUUUACACAUCUGUCGCAUGUUGGUGGCAUCCUGUGCCCCUAAAUAUAUAUAAAAAUAUAACUUUCAACAACGGAUCUCUUGGCUCUC